Molecule: long non-coding RNA, 423 nt
Organism: Etheostoma spectabile (orangethroat darter)
Lineage: Eukaryota; Metazoa; Chordata; Actinopteri; Perciformes; Percidae
Exons: 2
Source: RefSeq, a predicted model, not a curated record
AUGAGAUUGUUUUACUUUUAUCAUUAUAACAUUAUAACUUACUACUACUUACAUUUUUAUAGUUUUACUCUCAACAUUUGUAGCUAAAACAUUAUUAUGUAGAACAGAUUGAACACGUGAGAAAAUAAAAAAGCUUAAAAACAGCUGAUCUGACAUGCACUUAUGGUUUUAUAUUAUUCGUUUUUCAUUUAGUUUUAUUAUGAAUAGAGUGAUGACUAGUGAUAAAGAUGCUGAUGUUGAUGAUGAACUACAAAAGCCAUGUGAAACACAUGUUAUCUUUAAUGCUUGGUAUUAUUUUACUUCUAAUAUGUAAAUGUUAACAUUUUUAUCUUUGAUGUGUAUAUUAUAAGUCAGUGAAUAAGAAAUAUAUGUGUUGGCGUAUUUGUGGCUCAUGAUCUUUAGUGCGUAACUUUUAGAUAUUAA